RNAcentral lists this ribosomal RNA (650 nucleotides) under uncultured bacterium. Its description in RNAcentral is "bacterial SSU rRNA". It matches the Rfam family "Bacterial small subunit ribosomal RNA", at positions 348 to 1007 of the family's 1533-position model. The record is from RNAcentral.
GCAGCAGUGGGGAAUAUUGCACAAUGGGCGAAAGCCUGAUGCAGCAACGCCGCGUGAGGGACGAAGGCCUUCGGGUUGUAAACCUCUUUUAGUAGGGAAGAAGCGAAAGUGACGGUACCUGCAGAAAAAGCACCGGCUAACUACGUGCCAGCAGCCGCGGUAAUACGUAGGGUGCAAGCGUUGUCCGGAAUUAUUGGGCGUAAAGAGCUCGUAGGCGGUUUGUCGCGUCUGCUGUGAAAACCCGAGGCUCAACCUCGGGCCUGCAGUGGGUACGGGCAGACUAGAGUGCGGUAGGGGAGAUUGGAAUUCCUGGUGUAGCGGUGGAAUGCGCAGAUAUCAGGAGGAACACCAAUGGCGAAGGCAGAUCUCUGGGCCGUAACUGACGCUGAGGAGCGAAAGCAUGGGGAGCGAACAGGAUUAGAUACCCUGGUAGUCCAUGCCGUAAACGUUGGGAACUAGAUGUGGGGACCAUUCCACGGUCUCCGUGUCGCAGCUAACGCAUUAAGUUCCCCGCCUGGGGAGUACGGCCGCAAGGCUAAAACUCAAAGGAAUUGACGGGGGCCCGCACAAGCGGCGGAGCAUGCGGAUUAAUUCGAUGCAACGCGAAGAACCUUACCAAGGCUUGACAUAUAGAGGAAACGGCUGGAAAC